Molecule: long non-coding RNA, 1519 nt
Filed under: Saccoglossus kowalevskii
Lineage: Eukaryota; Metazoa; Hemichordata; Enteropneusta; Harrimaniidae
Description: uncharacterized LOC102805231
Source: RNAcentral
AGGGAAUAUUAAGUGUCUCAUGUUUGGUUGGUUCUUCGUUUGAAAUAUUAGCCUUCUAACAAGCUUAUCAAAUGUAGUAGAAAAGUUAUUCUAUGCACCUUCUGUUGUCAUUUAUGACAAUGCUUGCAAUUUGUAUACAUACUUCUUGAAUAGAGAUCUAUGUUUCAUUCAGAAGACUAGAUUUUAUGUUGAUCAUCUUCAUUGGAAGAAUCACACUGGUUGCUCCAGGGCAUACAAUCUAGAUGAGUAUUCAGAAUGGUGCCAUUUGAAUAGCCAAGUGGUAGAGCAAUCUAAUUCCAGAGUGAAGAAAUUGAUAAUCUACUAGUACAGUAUGAUGGUGUGGCUUUGUAUGUUUGUGCACAAGUCUUCUCUCAACAAGUCCGUACAGAAAACAUUUAGGUCACGUAAUGUUUGUUUAUAUGCAGUAACCCCAUAUGUUGUUUUCAUUAAAUAUCAUUAGAUAUAUUGCUAAAUAUUAUUUUGGAAAGUGUUUGCAGUUCAUGUUUUUAUUUGUAUGAGGGCCCUUGAUGUAGUACAUGUAAUAUUAAAGUUACACAAGAUUAUUUUUAGAAUAUAAAUACCAUAGCAUGUAUUUGAUUUUUAUCACAGCCAGAUAAACAGUCUAGUUUGUAUUCUUCCUAAUGUUGUAUUCAUUAUUAAGUCAAAAACGGGGAAUGCAUUAAAAGCUGUAUCUCAGGCAUACCUUGAUCAAUUCUCUUCAAAUCUUGUAUACUUAGUCUGUUACAGGUGUAAUGAUUUUGUGAUUAUGUCAAAAAUGGCUGACAGGGACUGCGCACUGCAAUAUCUAUUCUUGAAUGGGCAAGGUUGUAAUAGUUACACUAUGUUUGGAAAUUAAUUACAUGUAUGCGAACAUGAUGAUUUCACUUGAGUCAUAAUUAUUGUAUUCGGACAAAUUGAAAUUACUACAUUUUAUAUUGCAUAAUAUAAUGUAUUUUUUUAUAAUUUUCACAUGAAAUGAUUUAGAUCAUGAAAUUUCAGUUUUUGGGAGUUAUUUGCUGCUGUUUAAUGUUAUAACACUAUUAAAUCAAGUCAACUGAAUGUUUACUUUGAAUAUUUGAAUAUAUAUAUUCUAAUGUUAAUUAAAAGCCAUCAGUAAGCAUGAUUACAAGCCAUUGGUGCUUGGAAACAUUGUGACUUCAUAACAGUAACAUAUUAAUGGAUUGUUCUGGUGGUCAGAUCUCAUAAUACUAAUUUAUUGUAGAUAAAAACUAGCCAUGAUAAACUCAUCAUAUUGUGUUGCUGCAAUGUACAAUACCUCUGCAAUAACUGGAUUACACCCUUUGGUACUCAUUACCCUUUUGUAAGAGCAUUCAUCAUGUACCAAUGUUAAUUGUUAUUAUUAAUAAAACUGCUUAAACUGUUGACUUGUGAUUAUGGCCUCAUAUUUCAAGACUUUAUUUUAUGCAAAUCUGUAAGUACCUUACAAUCAUUAAAUGCUGCCUGGAAAUCAGAUACAUUUAGCCAAUUCAUGCUAUAUAAAUGGGUCUUGUAAUAUAAA